UAGCCGUAAACGAUACUCGCUAGGUGUCGGCCACGGUGCGACCGUUGUCGGUGCCGUAGGGAAGCCGUGAAGCGAGCCACCUGGGAAGUACGGCCGCAAGGCUGAAACUUAAAGGAAUUGGCGGGGGAGCACAACAGCGGGUGGAGCUUGCGGUUUAAUUGGAUUCAACGCCGGAAAUCUUACCGGGACCGACAGCAACAUGAAGGCCAAGCUGAAGACUUUGCCGGAUUAGCUGAGAGGAGGUGCAUGGCGUAGUCGUGU
RNAcentral lists this ribosomal RNA (261 nucleotides) under uncultured archaeon. RNAcentral's name for it is "partial 16S ribosomal RNA". It matches the Rfam family "Archaeal small subunit ribosomal RNA", at positions 748 to 1009 of the family's 1478-position model. The record is from RNAcentral.